GUCGUUCGCCAAUAUCAAAUUUCAUAACGACUCUCGGCAACGGAUAUCUCGGCUCUCGCAUCGAUGAAGAACGUAGCGAAAUGCGAUACUUGGUGUGAAUUGCAGAAUCAUGUGAAUCAUCGAGUCUUUGAACGCAAGUUGCGCCCGAAGCCGUCAGGUUGA
Molecule: ribosomal RNA, 162 nt
Filed under: Neraudia kauaiensis
Lineage: Eukaryota; Viridiplantae; Streptophyta; Magnoliopsida; Rosales; Urticaceae
Also listed under: 1 other name
Description: 5.8S ribosomal RNA
Rfam family: 5.8S ribosomal RNA (bases 29-162)
About the family: 5.8S ribosomal RNA (5.8S rRNA) is a component of the large subunit of the eukaryotic ribosome. It is transcribed by RNA polymerase I as part of the 45S precursor that also contains 18S and 28S rRNA.
Source: RNAcentral